This 452-nucleotide ribosomal RNA is filed under the name uncultured Kaistia sp. Its description in RNAcentral is "bacterial SSU rRNA". It matches the Rfam family "Bacterial small subunit ribosomal RNA", at positions 9 to 507 of the family's 1533-position model. Lineage: Bacteria; Pseudomonadati; Pseudomonadota; Alphaproteobacteria; Hyphomicrobiales; Kaistiaceae. The record is from RNAcentral.
GUAGUUGACUCCUGGCUACAGAACACGCUGGCGGCAGGCCUAACACAUGCAAGUCGAACGCCCUGGCAACAGGGAGUGGCAGACGGGUGAGUAACGCGUGGGAAUCUACCUUGUGGUACGGAACAACCAAGGGAAACUUUGGCUAAUACCGUAUGAGCCCUUUGGGGGAAAGAUUUAUCGCCAUAAGAUGAGCCCGCGUAGGAUUAGCUAGUUGGUGAGGUAAUGGCUCACCAAGGCGACGAUCCUUAGCUGGUCUGAGAGGAUGACCAGCCACACUGGGACUGAGACACGGCCCAGACUCCUACGGGAGGCAGCAGUGGGGAAUAUUGGACAAUGGGCGCAAGCCUGAUCCAGCCAUGCCGCGUGUGUGAUGACGGCCUUAGGGUUGUAAAGCACUUUCGCCGAUGAAGAUAAUGACUGUAGUCGGAGAAGAAGCCCCGGCUAACUUCGUG